UACGUAGGGUGCAAGCGUUACUCGGAAUUACUGGGCGUAAAGCGUGCGCAGGCGGUUUUGUAAGUCUGUUGUGAAAUCCCCGGGCUUAACCUGGGAAUGGCAAUGGAGACUGCAAGGCUAGAGUUUGGCAGAGGGGGGUAGAAUUCCACGUGUAGCAGUGAAAUGCGUAGAGAUGUGGAGGAACACCGAUGGCGAAGGCAGCCCCCUGGGUCAAAACUGACGCUCAUGCACGAAAGCGUGGGGAGCAAACAGG
This 253-nucleotide ribosomal RNA is filed under the name uncultured bacterium. RNAcentral's name for it is "partial 16S ribosomal RNA". It matches the Rfam family "Bacterial small subunit ribosomal RNA", at positions 524 to 776 of the family's 1533-position model. The record is from RNAcentral.